Molecule: ribosomal RNA, 1359 nt
Filed under: uncultured bacterium
Lineage: Bacteria
Description: bacterial SSU rRNA
Rfam family: Bacterial small subunit ribosomal RNA
Source: RNAcentral
GAUGAACGCUAGCUACAGGCUUAACACAUGCAAGUCGAGGGGAAACGGCAUUGAGUGCUUGCACUCUUUGGACGUCGACCGGCGCACGGGUGAGUAACGCGUAUCCAACCUUCCCAUUACUGUGGGAUAACCUGCCGAAAGGCAGACUAAUACCGCAUAGUCUUCGUUGACGGCAUCCGAUAUGAAGUAAAGAUUUAUCGGUAAUGGAUGGGGAUGCGUCUGAUUAGCUUGUUGGCGGGGUAACGGCCCACCAAGGCGACGAUCAGUAGGGGUUCUGAGAGGAAGGUCCCCCACAUUGGAACUGAGACACGGUCCAAACUCCUACGGGAGGCAGCAGUGAGGAAUAUUGGUCAAUGGACGGAAGUCUGAACCAGCCAAGUAGCGUGCAGGAUGACGGCCCUAUGGGUUGUAAACUGCUUUUGUAUGGGGAUAAAGUUAGGGACGUGUCCCUAUUUGCAGGUACCAUACGAAUAAGGACCGGCUAAUUCCGUGCCAGCAGCCGCGGUAAUACGGAAGGUCCAGGCGUUAUCCGGAUUUAUUGGGUUUAAAGGGAGCGUAGGCUGAAUAUUAAGUCAGUGGUGAAAUACAGAGGCUCAACCAUCGAUAUGCAUUGCAACUGGUAUUCCUGAAUGCCGACCGGCAUGCUGGAACUCCUGCUGGAACGGUGAAAUGCUUAAAUAUCGCCAUGAACUCCCAACUGCAAAGGCGGCGUACGGGCUGCCACUGACCCUUAAGCUCCAAAGGGUGGGUAUCCAACCAGAAUAAAUUCCCUGGUAAUCCCCCCCAUAAACCAAGGAUUCUCCCCUGUUGCUAUCUGAUGUCAGCCGCCAAGCGAAAGCAUUAAGUAUCCCACCUGGGGAGUACGCCGGCAACGGUGAAACUCAAAGGAAUUGACGGGGGCCCGCACAAGCGGAGGAACAUGUGGUUUAAUUCGAUGAUACGCGAGGAACCUUACCCGGGCUUGAACUAAGAGAGGCGGAUUGAGAGAUAGAUCUCUCUUGGGACAUUCUUGGAGGUGCUGCAUGGUUGUCGUCAGCUCGUGCCGUGAGGUGUCGGCUUAAGUGCCAUAACGAGCGCAACCCUUUUCUUCGGUUGCCAUCAGGUCAUGCUGGGCACUCCAGGGAUACUGCCAUCGUAAGAUGUGAGGAAGGUGGGGAUGACGUCAAAUCAGCACGGCCCUUACGUCCGGGGCUACACACGUGUUACAAUGGGGGGUACAGAAGGUCGCUACCUGGUGACAGGAUGCUAAUCUCCAAAACCUCUCUCAGUUCGGAUUGGAGUCUGCAACCCGACUCCAUGAAGCUGGAUUCGCUAGUAAUCGCGCAUCAGCCAUGGCGCGGUGAAUACGUUCCCGGGCCU